Molecule: ribosomal RNA, 425 nt
Filed under: uncultured bacterium
Lineage: Bacteria
Description: bacterial SSU rRNA
Rfam family: Bacterial small subunit ribosomal RNA
Source: RNAcentral
GGGGAAUUGUUCACAAUGGGCGCAAGCCUGAUGACGCGACGCCGCGUGGGGGAUGAAGGUCUUCGGAUUGUAAACCCCUGUCGAGCGGGACGAACGGCUCACGAGCUAAUCAUCGUGAGAGUGACGGUACCGCUAAAGGAAGCCACGGCUAACUCUGUGCCAGCAGCCGCGGUAAUACAGAGGUGGCAAGCGUUGUUCGGAAUUACUGGGCGUAAAGGGCGUGUAGGCGGCUUUUUAAGUCAGACGUGAAAUCCCCCGGCUUAACCUGGGAACUGCGUCUGAUACUGGGAAGCUAGAGUUCGGGAGAGGGAUGUAGAAUUCCAGGUGUAGCGGUGAAAUACGUAGAUAUCUGGAGGAACACCGGUGGCGAAGGCGGCAUCCUGGACCGGUAUUGACGCUGAUGCGCGAAAGCCAGGGGAGCAAAC